AAAAAAAAAAAAAGAGGAAGAAGGAACAAAACGAAAGAUAAAAAAGCAAAACGAAAAUAUUCCAGAUGAAAUACUAACCUACGACGAGGACAAAAUGUUCUACUUUUUAAAAUUCCAAUUUUUCUAACGGACAGACGUAUAGCUUUUAUUCUGAAAGUUUCAGACGGAUUACAAAAGAGAUAAAUAGAUAAAUAGAUAGAUAGAUAGGUAGAUAGGAGAAACAGGAAGAGAGAGAGAGAGAGAGAGAGAGAGAGAAAAAGAGAAAGAGAAAUUGAUUGAAUAUGUACAAGCGCGUAAGAGUUUACGCAUUGACCUGACUGCGUCUGUGAAUAAUGCGUGUGUACGUGCGUGAGGCAGAGACCAGCUGACUGCCAAAACAGCUGUAGCGAUAUACGAUGAUGCAUCGUGGGGUGUUCGCCUCGUUCCGUUUCUCUCCUUCUUCCUCCCACCCUUCUCACCGCACCCUCUCUUUCCCUCUCUGUCUCUCUCUCUCUCUCUCUUUCUCUCUCUGUCUCUCUUUCUCUCUCUACCUAUAUCCGUCUUUCUCGUCAGUCGAUUGGAGGAGGGUUUUCAGACUGACUGUGAUUUAGCCUCGUAUUUAUGUCUAGUUUCUGGCGUGUUACGCUCUCAGCGAGCCAUUUCGAUUUUCAUCGUAACCGUUUGUUCUCCCACAAAAUAAAGACACUGUAUUAGGAUUAAGUUUUUAAGUUCUCAAUAAGUAGAAAAUGUGAACGUUGUUUAAAUGUCCAGAAUCAAUCGAUCGAGAUAUUUGAAAUGAAUUUGGGCUAUCGUGUUGUGGAGGAGCGUGAGGGGUGGGUGAUGGGGAGAAGAAAAGCAUCAAAGUAUUGCAUCGUUAUGCGCGUAAUGUUUGUCUUGAUAAAUUUUCAUAUGCUCUAGAAAUAUGAGGGAGAGAGAGAGAGAGAGAGAGAGAGAGAGAGAGAGAGAGAGAGAUAGAGAUAGAGAAAUAGAGAAAGAGAGAAAGAGAGAGAGAGAGAGAGAGAACACGUUACAUGCUCUUCAUACGUUUAUCGUCUCACAAAUACGUCGCUCGCGAGGAUAUAAAAUUUAACGCUUGCUCCUACAAAGCACGAGCAAAACGUAAAGUACAUUUUCCUCGACCGAUAGCGACCUACACCGAAUGCAUAAAAAUGGUCCAAAAUGUGAUGCAUCAUAUUGGUAGUAAAAAUAAAAAAAAAAAAAAAAAAAUAAAAA
This is a long non-coding RNA of Vespula pensylvanica (western yellowjacket), 1212 nucleotides long. RefSeq lists it as uncharacterized. Lineage: Eukaryota; Metazoa; Arthropoda; Insecta; Hymenoptera; Vespidae. The transcript is spliced from 2 exons. The record is from RefSeq and is a predicted model, not a curated record.